GAAUAUUGCACAAUGGGGGAAACCCUGAUGCAGCAACGCCGCGUGGAUGAUGAAGGCCUUCGGGUUGUAAAAUCCUUUUCUGAGGGAAGAUAAUGACGGUACCUCAGGAAUAAGUUCCGGCUAACUACGUGCCAGCGGCCGCGGUAAAACGUAGGGGACAAGCGUUAUCCGGAUGUACUGGGCGUAAAGCGCAUGUAGGUGGCGCGGAAAGUUGGACGUGAAAGCUCCCGGCUUAACUGGGAGAGGUCGUUCAAAACUGUCGUGCUUGAGGUUGGAAGAGGAGAGCGGAAUUCCCGGUGUAGUGGUGGAAUGCGUAGAUAUCGGGAGGAACACCAGUGGCGAAAGCGGCUCUCUGGUUCACACCUGACACUGAGAUGCGAAAGCGUGGGGAGCGAACGGGA
Molecule: ribosomal RNA, 401 nt
Filed under: uncultured bacterium
Lineage: Bacteria
Description: bacterial SSU rRNA
Rfam family: Bacterial small subunit ribosomal RNA
Source: RNAcentral